This 492-nucleotide ribosomal RNA is filed under the name uncultured bacterium. Its description in RNAcentral is "partial 16S ribosomal RNA". It matches the Rfam family "Bacterial small subunit ribosomal RNA", at positions 29 to 507 of the family's 1533-position model. The record is from RNAcentral.
AGUGAACGCUGGCGGUAGGCCUAACACAUGCAAGUCGAACGGCAGCACAGUAAGAGCUUGCUCUUACGGGUGGCGAGUGGCGGACGGGUGAGGAAUACAUCGGAAUCUACUUUUUCGUGGGGGAUAACGUAGGGAAACUUACGCUAAUACCGCAUACGACCUACGGGUGAAAGCAGGGGAUCUUCGGACCUUGCGCGAUUGAAUGAGCCGAUGUCGGAUUAGCUAGUUGGCGGGGUAAAGGCCCACCAAGGCGACGAUCCGUAGCUGGUCUGAGAGGAUGAUCAGCCACACUGGAACUGAGACACGGUCCAGAAUCCUACGGGAGGCAGCAGUGGGGAAUAUUGGACAAUGGGAGCAAGCCUGAUCCAGCCAUACCGCGUGGGUGAAGAAGGCCUUCGGGUUGUAAAGACCUUUUGUUGGGAAAGAAAAGCAGCAGGUUAAUACCCCGCUGUUCUGACGGUACCCAAAGAAUAAGCACCGGCUAAAUUCGUG